GCGCUCGUAACUCAGCGGUAGAGUGCCAUCCUUAUAAGAUGGAAGUCCUUGGUCCGAACCCAAGCGAGCGCA
Candidatus Roizmanbacteria bacterium is the source of this 72-nucleotide non-coding RNA. The record is from Rfam. Lineage: Bacteria; Candidatus Roizmaniibacteriota.